Molecule: non-coding RNA, 639 nt
Organism: Paramuricea clavata
Lineage: Eukaryota; Metazoa; Cnidaria; Anthozoa; Malacalcyonacea; Plexauridae
Source: the annotation of a GenBank genome assembly
UCUGGGAACUGGUACCGAAAAACUCAUUUUCAGCUAUGUGAUUUUAUUUUGACAUGUCAAAAUAUUUGGAAAGAAAGGGUUUUGUGUUUUUUGGAAAGUUUUUUAGUAUUUGUGUCGUCUGGAAAAGUUUCCUUGCAAUGUUUAUCGAUUGGAAAGGAUAAAUCAAGACUCCAGCUAUGGAUUUUCACCGUGAUUUGUUACAACACGAUAACACUGGCACCCCACAACAUCCAACAAAAACAACUCUAUCGUUCUCCACUUUGGGUGAAGCGUUGCCAUUUGGGGUUCAAUUAUCAUUGACAAUUGUGUUCACGACACUCUACGCUUUGUUGUUUUUAUUGAUCUGGAUACAAUUAGUACUUAUCUUGGUGUAUAAACACAAAAGACUAUCAUACCAGAGUGUAUUUUUGUAUUUAUGUCUGUUAUGGGCUGCCCUAAGGACAACAUUAUUUUCAUUUUAUUUCAACGAUAGCUGCAUGGCCAAUAAGUUAAAUCUUGGUUGGAAAUGGUUGCUAUAUUCUUUCCCCAUUGUUCUACAGUAUUUCACGCUAAGUUUGUUGGCAUUGUAUUUUUCACAGGUGAGUAUUUGGCCCAAAGCUGCUGAUAAGGGGGAGGGCUUCUUAACAUAGAAUAAUAAUA